CGCAGCAGCAGGCCUCUACACUCAUUGAGAGUGGGCUCCUGAAUCCCCCUGUGGUUGGCGGUUGCAGUAAAACAUAAAUAUAUACUACAUACUGUAUAUUUUUUUAUUUCUCCGGGGCCCAGGGGCAAUAGCCCAGAGCCAGAGAGGGAAAAUCACUUUCAUCUGGAGAAGCUCGUCCGUUAACACGGGGCGGCCCAUCUGCAGCUCCCCGCUGUUCCUAAAAGAAAGAUUAAGGAUUUGAGUUGGCCUGACGGAGAGAUCUUCCAGGCGGCUCCGGCCCAUGGAGGAUGCAGAGCAUCACAUCAGAUCAAACAUUGAUAAACCAGUACUUUACCAGCGUUUUAUCAAUAUCUUUAAAGGACGGGGAGUUUUUGCCACUGAAUUCAUAUCCAAAGGAGACUUUGUUGUGGAGUACCGAGGUGAACUGCUUACACAACAGGAGGGCGAGGUCCGAGCUGAUCAGUACAAUGAUUCUGCAAAGGUGUUUCUUUUCGAUAUUCAAUGGAAAGGAAGAACAUGGUGCAUUGAUGCAUCUGAAGAAGACUCCUCCCUUGGGAGACUCGUUAAUGAUGAUCACUAAAGACUCAAUCUCAAAAUGAAAGCCAUACAAGCAAAUGAUGAGCCACACUUGUGCCUCUUCGCGACUCGAGAUAUUGCAGCUGGCGAGGAGUUGACUUAUAGUUACGGUGAUUCAGACUGGCCAUGGAGAACACAGGUCAUCAAAACUGAAUUGUCGUCCAGCCCAAAACCUGACCAUACAAACGCUUCACACCGCGUGGCCGCGGCCACCC
Long non-coding RNA from Salvelinus namaycush (lake trout), 791 nucleotides. RefSeq lists it as uncharacterized. Lineage: Eukaryota; Metazoa; Chordata; Actinopteri; Salmoniformes; Salmonidae. The transcript is spliced from 7 exons. The record is from RefSeq and is a predicted model, not a curated record.